CAACGCUGGCGGCGUGCCUAACACAUGCAAGUCGCGCGCGAAAGGGGGGCAACCCCCAAGUAGAGCGGCGAACGGGUGAGUAACGCGUGGGUGAUCUGCCUCCGAGUGGGGAAUAACAGCGGGAAACUGCUGCUAAUACCGCAUGACAUCCUCGAGUCACAUCGAGGAUCAAAGCCGGGGACCGCAAGGCCUGGCGCUUGGAGAUGAGCCCGCGUCCGAUUAGCUAGUUGGCGGGGUAACGGCCCACCAAGGCUCCGAUCGGUAGCCGGCCUGAGAGGGCGGACGGCCACACUGGGACUGAGACACGGCCCAGACUCCUACGGGAGGCAGCAGUGGGGAAUUUUUCGCAAUGGGGGAAACCCUGACGAAGCAACGCCGCGUGGAGGAUGAAGGCCUUCGGGUCGUAAACUCCUGUCGACUGGGAAGAAAGCACAACGACCUAAUACGUCGAGGUGUUGACUGUACCGGUGGAGGAAGCCACGGCUAACUCUGUGCCAGCAGCCGCGGUAAUACAGAGGUGGCAAGCGUUGUUCGGAAUUACUGGGCGUAAAGGGCGCGUAGGCGGUCUGCCAAGUCCCGUGUGAAAGCCCCCGGCUCAACCGGGGAACGGCGCGGGAAACUAGCAGGCUUGAGUUCGGGAGAGGGAAGCGGAAUUCCGGGUGUAGCGGUGAAAUGCGCAGAUAUCCGGAGGAACACCGGUGGCGAAGGCGGCUUCCUGGACCGACACUGACGCUGAGGCGCGAAAGCUAGGGGAGCAAACGGGAUUAGAUACCCCGGUAGUCCUAGCCCUAAACGAUGAGCACUGGGUGUAGAGGGUAUGGACCCCUUCUGUGCCGAAGCUAACGCAUUAAGUGCUCCGCCUGGGGAGUACGGUCGCAAGGCUGAAACUCAAAG
Molecule: ribosomal RNA, 894 nt
Filed under: uncultured bacterium
Lineage: Bacteria
Description: bacterial SSU rRNA
Rfam family: Bacterial small subunit ribosomal RNA
Source: RNAcentral